GGGUUGUGAGGUUAAGCGACUAAGCGUACACGGUGGAUGCCCUGGCAGUCAGAGGCGAUGAAGGGCGUGCUAAUCUGCGAUAAGCGCCGGUAAGGUGAUAUGAACCGUUAUAACCGGCGAUACCCGAAUGGGGAAACCCAGUGUGAUUCGUCACACUAUCAUUAACUGAAUCCAUAGGUUAAUGAGGCGAACCGGGGGAACUGAAACAUCUAAGUACCCCGAGGAAAAGAAAUCAACCGAGAUUCCCCCAGUAGCGGCGAGCGAACGGGGAGGAGCCCAGAGCCUGAAUCAGCAUGUGUGUUAGUGGAAGCGUCUGGAAAGGCGCGCGAUACAGGGUGACAGCCCCGUACACAAAAGCGCAUGUGCUGUGAGCUCGAUGAGUAGGGCGGGACACGUGGUAUCCUGUCUGAAUAUGGGGGGACCAUCCUCCAAGGCUAAAUACUCCUGACUGACCGAUAGUGAACCAGUACCGUGAGGGAAAGGCGAAAAGAACCCCGGCGAGGGGAGUGAAAAAGAACCUGAAACCGUGUACGUACAAGCAGUGGGAGCACAGGUUUACCUGUGUGACUGCGUACCUUUUGUAUAAUGGGUCAGCGACUUAUAUUCUGUAGCAAGGUUAACCGAAUAGGGGAGCCGGAGGGAAACCGAGUCUUAAUUGGGCGUUAAGUUGCAGGGUAUAGACCCGAAACCCGGUGAUCUAGCCAUGGGCAGGUUGAAGGUUGGGUAACACUAACUGGAGGACCGAACCGACUAAUGUUGAAAAAUUAGCGGAUGACCUGUGGCUGGGGGUGAAAGGCCAAUCAAACCGGGAGAUAGCUGGUUCUCCCCGAAAGCUAUUUAGGUAGCGCCUCGUGAAUUCAUCUCCGGGGGUAGAGCACUGUUUCGGCUAGGGGGCCAUCCCGGCUUACCAACCCGAUGCAAACUGCGAAUACCGGAGAAUGUUAUCACGGGAGACACACGGCGGGUGCUAACGUCCGUCGUGAAGAGGGAAACAACCCAGACCGCCAGCUAAGGUCCCAAAGUCAUGGUUAAGUGGGAAACGAUGUGGGAAGGCCCAGACAGCCAGGAUGUUGGCUUAGAAGCAGCCAUCAUUUAAAGAAAGCGUAAUAGCUCACUGGUCGAGUCGGCCUGCGCGGAAGAUGUAACGGGGCUAAACCAUGCACCGAAGCUGCGGCAGCGACACUGUGUGUUGUUGGGUAGGGGAGCGUUCUGUAAGCCUGUGAAGGUGGCCUGUGAGGGUUGCUGGAGGUAUCAGAAGUGCGAAUGCUGACAUAAGUAACGAUAAAGCGGGUGAAAAGCCCGCUCGCCGGAAGACCAAGGGUUCCUGUCCAACGUUAAUCGGGGCAGGGUGAGUCGACCCCUAAGGCGAGGCCGAAAGGCGUAGUCGAUGGGAAACGGGUUAAUAUUCCCGUACUUGGUGUUACUGCGAAGGGGGGACGGAGAAGGCUAUGUUGGCCGGGCGACGGUUGUCCCGGUUUAAGCGUGUAGGUGUGUGUUCCAGGUAAAUCCGGUUCACUUUAACACUGAGGCGUGACGACGAGGCACUACGGUGCUGAAGCAACAAAUGCCCUGCUUCCAGGAAAAGCCUCUAAGCAUCAGGUAACACGAAAUCGUACCCCAAACCGACACAGGUGGUCAGGUAGAGAAUACCAAGGCGCUUGAGAGAACUCGGGUGAAGGAACUAGGCAAAAUGGUGCCGUAACUUCGGGAGAAGGCACGCUGACACGUAGGUGAAGUGAUUUACUCAUGGAGCUGAAGUCAGUCGAAGAUACCAGCUGGCUGCAACUGUUUAUUAAAAACACAGCACUGUGCAAACACGAAAGUGGACGUAUACGGUGUGACGCCUGCCCGGUGCCGGAAGGUUAAUUGAUGGGGUCAGCGCAAGCGAAGCUCCUGAUCGAAGCCCCGGUAAACGGCGGCCGUAACUAUAACGGUCCUAAGGUAGCGAAAUUCCUUGUCGGGUAAGUUCCGACCUGCACGAAUGGCGUAAUGAUGGCCAGGCUGUCUCCACCCGAGACUCAGUGAAAUUGAACUCGCUGUGAAGAUGCAGUGUACCCGCGGCAAGACGGAAAGACCCCGUGAACCUUUACUAUAGCUUGACACUGAACAUUGAGCCUUGAUGUGUAGGAUAGGUGGGAGGCUUUGAAGUGUGGACGCCAGUCUGCAUGGAGCCGACCUUGAAAUACCACCCUUUAAUGUUUGAUGUUCUAACGUGGACCCGUAAUCCGGGUUGCGGACAGUGUCUGGUGGGUAGUUUGACUGGGGCGGUCUCCUCCUAAAGAGUAACGGAGGAGCACGAAGGUUGGCUAAUCCUGGUCGGACAUCAGGAGGUUAGUGCAAUGGCAUAAGCCAGCUUGACUGCGAGCGUGACGGCGCGAGCAGGUGCGAAAGCAGGUCAUAGUGAUCCGGUGGUUCUGAAUGGAAGGGCCAUCGCUCAACGGAUAAAAGGUACUCCGGGGAUAACAGGCUGAUACCGCCCAAGAGUUCAUAUCGACGGCGGUGUUUGGCACCUCGAUGUCGGCUCAUCACAUCCUGGGGCUGAAGUAGGUCCCAAGGGUAUGGCUGUUCGCCAUUUAAAGUGGUACGCGAGCUGGGUUUAGAACGUCGUGAGACAGUUCGGUCCCUAUCUGCCGUGGGCGCUGGAGAACUGAGGGGGGCUGCUCCUAGUACGAGAGGACCGGAGUGGACGCAUCACUGGUGUUCGGGUUGUCAUGCCAAUGGCACUGCCCGGUAGCUAAAUGCGGAAGAGAUAAGUGCUGAAAGCAUCUAAGCACGAAACUUGCCCCGAGAUGAGUUCUCCCUGAGACUUAGAGUCUCCUGAAGGAACGUUGAAGACGACGACGUUGAUAGGCCGGGUGUGUAAGCGCAGCGAUGCGUUGAGCUAACCGGUACUAAUGAACCGUGAGGCUUAACCUUACAACGCCGAAG
Molecule: ribosomal RNA, 2928 nt
Filed under: Salmonella enterica subsp. enterica serovar Wandsworth str. SA20092095
Lineage: Bacteria; Pseudomonadati; Pseudomonadota; Gammaproteobacteria; Enterobacterales; Enterobacteriaceae
Description: bacterial LSU rRNA
Rfam family: Bacterial large subunit ribosomal RNA
Source: RNAcentral